UACGAAGGUCCCAAGCGUUGUUCGGAAUCACUGGGCGUAAAGGGAGCGUAGGCGGCGUGGUAAGUCAGAUGUGAAAUCCCGGGGCUCAACCCCGGAACUGCAUCCGAUACUGCCAUGCUAGAGGAUUGGAGAGGUAGCUGGAAUUCUUGGUGUAGCAGUGAAAUGCGUAGAGAUCAAGAGGAACACUCGUGGCGAAAGCGAGCUACUGGACAAUUCCUGACGCUGAGGCUCGAAGGCCAGGGUAGCGAAAGGG
This 253-nucleotide ribosomal RNA is filed under the name uncultured bacterium. RNAcentral describes it as "partial 16S ribosomal RNA". It matches the Rfam family "Bacterial small subunit ribosomal RNA", at positions 524 to 776 of the family's 1533-position model. The record is from RNAcentral.